This is a long non-coding RNA of Aricia agestis (brown argus), 287 nucleotides long. RefSeq lists it as uncharacterized. NCBI's taxonomy places the organism in Eukaryota, Metazoa, Arthropoda, Insecta, Lepidoptera, Lycaenidae. The record is from RefSeq and is a predicted model, not a curated record. The transcript has 3 exons.
GUGAAAUUUUGCUACUGGAAUUAAGUCAUGGCAAUAGAGUUGAUAAUGACUAAGUGCACCUGAUGUUAUGGCAGCUUUGGCAUAAGCAUCUACACUCUCAUUGCCAGUAAUUCCACUAUGACCAGGAAUCCAUGCUAAUUUAACUUGAAUAUUUUGAACACGACACUUAAGGAGUAACUGUCUUAUUUUCAGUAUCAAUGGAAAUCUAGACUUAGAGCGGAACUGGUUGGCUGAAAUACCCUCUAAAACGCUUCUGGAAUCCGAAAGAAUAAUUUUCUCUAUAUAAG